CGUAGGUGGCAAGCGUUGUCCGGAUUUAUUGGGUUUAAAGGGUGCGUAGGCGGUCUUGUAAGUCAGUGGUGAAAUCCGGCAGCUUAACUGUCGAUGUGCCAUUGAUACUGCAGGACUUGAGUACAGACGAGGUAGGCGGAAUUGACGGUGUAGCGGUGAAAUGCUUAGAUAUCGUCAAGAACACCGAUAGCGAAGGCAGCUUACUAGACUGUAACUGACGCUGAUGCACGAAAGUGUGGGGAUCAAACAGGAUUAGAUACCCUGGUAGUCCACACUGUAAACGAUGAUUACUCGAUGUUGGCGAUACACAGCCAGCGUCUUAGCGAAAGCGAUAAGUAAUCCACCUGGGGAGUACGCCGGCAACGGUG
RNAcentral lists this ribosomal RNA (368 nucleotides) under uncultured organism. RNAcentral describes it as "bacterial SSU rRNA". It matches the Rfam family "Bacterial small subunit ribosomal RNA", at positions 526 to 896 of the family's 1533-position model. The record is from RNAcentral.